GACGAACGCUGGCUGCGUGCUUAACACAUGCAAGUCGAACGGAAAGGCCCUGCUUUUGUGGGGUGCUCGAGUGGCGAACGGGUGAGUAACACGUGAGUAACCUGCCCUUGACUUUGGGAUAACUUCAGGAAACUGGGGCUAAUACCGGAUAGGGGCUCCUGCUGCAUGGUGGGGGUUGGAAAGUUUCGGCGGAUGGGGAUGGACAUGCGGCUUAUUAGCUUGUUGGUGGUGUAGUGGCUUACCAAGGAUUUGAUGGAUAGGGGGUCUGAGAGGAAGGCCCGCCACAUUGGAACUGAGACACGGGCCAAACUCCUACGGGAGGCAGCAGUGAGGAAUAUUGGUCAAUGGGCGAGAGCCUGAACCAGCCAAGUAGCGUGAAGGAUGACUGCCCGAUGGGUUGUAAACUUCUUUUAUAAAGGAAUAAAGGCGGGUAUGGAUACCCGUUUGCAUGUACUUUAUGAAUAAGGAUCGGCUAACUCCGUG
RNAcentral lists this ribosomal RNA (483 nucleotides) under uncultured bacterium. RNAcentral describes it as "partial 16S ribosomal RNA". It matches the Rfam family "Bacterial small subunit ribosomal RNA", at positions 28 to 507 of the family's 1533-position model. The record is from RNAcentral.